Molecule: small nucleolar RNA, 72 nt
Organism: Podarcis muralis (Common wall lizard)
Lineage: Eukaryota; Metazoa; Chordata; Lepidosauria; Squamata; Lacertidae
Gene: SNORD18
Rfam family: Small nucleolar RNA SNORD18
About the family: U18 is a member of the C/D class of snoRNA which contain the C (UGAUGA) and D (CUGA) box motifs. It is encoded in introns of ribosomal protein L1 in Xenopus and human, and in introns of elongation factor 1 beta in yeast.
Source: Ensembl
CUGAGAUGAUGAAAUUCCACUUCAUUGGUCCGUGUUUUUGAGCUCUGUGAUAUCAGUGGAAGUUCUGAUGUU